CUUAGCCAAAAUCUUAGUUUUGCUGUUGCCCAGCAAAACCAGCACCUCUUUGAUAAAAUUUAUUAUAGCGAACCCAAAGGCUCUUUUAAGAGCCAUCCACAUUGCUUCACUGAUUGGACAUCUAAUUCAUCUUUAUUGGACAUCUAAUUCAUCUUUGUAAGUAACAGUUACAUAUUUCAGAUUUAAAGCAAUAGUUCAUCUUAUGUUUAUCAGCUUACCCCC
Paramisgurnus dabryanus is the source of this 222-nucleotide long non-coding RNA. RefSeq lists it as uncharacterized. The record is from RefSeq and is a predicted model, not a curated record. Lineage: Eukaryota; Metazoa; Chordata; Actinopteri; Cypriniformes; Cobitidae.